Molecule: RNA transcript, 4145 nt
Organism: Salvia splendens (bonfire salvia)
Lineage: Eukaryota; Viridiplantae; Streptophyta; Magnoliopsida; Lamiales; Lamiaceae
Gene name: splicing factor-like protein 1
Exons: 2
Source: RefSeq, a predicted model, not a curated record
AUUUUAGGGCCAGUCCGUCAACUGUUGGAGUUGAAACCUAAAUUCGCGUAUAUACUAUACGCCUGUACGGCUCUCUCCCCUUUCCGUCUCAUAAUUUCUGCAUCUCAUCAAUUGCUCUCUCUCCCUCCAAUUCAAUGGAUACUCUUCAAUCCAAUUACACUGAUUCCCCUUCUCAGCCCCAAUCCGAACCCCAAUCUCAACCCCAAUCUGAAACCCUCGAAAAAACCCUAGACUCCUCCAACAACGGAGCUGCCGCCGCCGAUGCUUCUAUGCCCGUCCUGAAGCCUGAUUUUCCGAAGCCCCUUUUGUCGGGGAAUGGUCUCGCGAACACGAACAGCGGCACUGACAAAGAUUUCUCCGGGGGCGAGGAGGAAACGACAAGCCGCAGGCGGAGGCGAUCUAGGUGGGACCCGCCCCCGAGCGAGUCCAGCAACGAUGGUAACGCUGCCAACGGCGAUGGAAAUUCUGGAACCGGUGGGAGGAAGCGGAAGUCGAGGUGGGCAGAUGACGAGCCGAAGCCCAUGAUCCAGCUACCUGACUUUAUGAAGGACUUCGCCGGAGGUAUUGAAUUUGAUCCUGAGAUUCAAACUUUGAAUAGUAGGUUGCUUGAGAUUAGUCGUAAGUUGCAAUCCGGUAUGCUCUUGGAUGAUCGGCCUGAGGGAGCUAGGUCGCCCUCCCCGGAACCUAUUUAUGAUAACAUGGGAGUGAGGAUUAAUACUAGGGAAUAUCGUGCUAGAGAGAAGCUGAAUAGGGAGAGGCAAGAGAUCAUAUCGCAGAUUAUUAAGAAGAAUCCUGCCUUUAAGCCCCCGGCGGAUUAUAGGCCGCCCAAGCUUCACAAGAAGCUAUACAUACCGAUGAAAGAGUACCCUGGUUAUAAUUUUAUUGGAUUGAUUAUUGGUCCAAGAGGAAACACUCAGAAGAGGAUGGAAAGGGAGACUGGUGCGAAGAUUGUUAUCCGGGGCAAAGGGUCUGUGAAGGAAGGUAGGCUGCAACAGAAGAGGGAUUUGAAGCCUGACCCCGCAGAAAAUGAGGAUUUGCAUGUGCUGGUGGAGGCUGACACUCAGGAGUCUCUUGAGGCUGCUGCUGGUAUGGUCGAGAAACUCUUGCAGCCAGUUGACGAGGUUCUUAAUGAGCAUAAGAGGCAACAGCUUAGGGAGCUUGCUGCACUGAAUGGUACUAUUAGAGAUGAAGAGUAUUGCAGGCUGUGCGGUGAGCCUGGUCAUCGACAGUAUGCAUGUCCUUCCCGCACCUCAACUUUUAAGAGUGAUGUUUUGUGUAAGAUUUGUGGUGAUGGUGGGCAUCCUACUAUUGAUUGCCCUGUGAAGAAUACUACUGGCAAGAAAAUGGAUGAUGAGUAUCAGAACUUCCUGGCAGAACUUGGAGGAACAGUUCCGGAGUCUUCAAUCAAGUCGAGCUCUGCAACACUUGCUCUUCCUGGGGGUUCAGGUGUGAAUCCUCCUUGGGCAAGUUCUACCAACACUGUGAUUAACACCACACAAGCUGCUCUUGGAUCACCACUGCUCAAGCCAAAGGAAUUUGACGAGACAAACUUAUACAUUGGUUACUUGCCUCCCACUCUGGAGGAUGAUGGUUUGAUCAGUUUGUUUUCUCCUUUUGGUGAAAUUGUGAUGGCUAAAGUUAUCAAAGACCGUGUGUCUGGUUUGAGCAAGGGUUACGGCUUUGUGAAGUAUGCGGAUGUUCAGCAGGCAAAUAAUGCAAUUGCAAGCAUGAAUGGGCACAAGUUAGAUGGGAGAACAAUUGCUGUGCGAGUCGCAGGUAAACCACCUCAGCCCACAGUGCCUCCAGGCCCUCCUGCUCCACCUAUGCCAACAUAUCCUCCUCUGAAUCAUCCCAUUGGUGCCUACCCCUCCCAGCAGUACAAUGCUGGUGGUCCAGUUCCACCUGGCAUGUAUUCUGCGGCACCGGUUCCUUGGGGACCUCCACCACCUCCUUCAUAUUCCCCGUAUCCUCCUCCGCCACCAGGAUCGACAAUGUAUCCUCCAGUUCCAGGUCAAGCAGUUCAUCAAUAUGGAGUGCAAUACCCUCCGCCUCCAAUGCCUCCAGGUUCAUCUGGUGUUCAGACUCAGGCUGUUUCUUCCGCUGACUCAUCUUCUGGGGAGAUGCAGCAAAGUUACCCUCCAGGAGUACAAUCUCAGAGUAGUGCGUCAGUCCAAUCUAUUCCAACUUAUGCCUAUGGCAAUUCCGUAACUGCAAUGUUACCACCAAAUUCCCAGACUCCUUACCCAGCACCUCCAUAUAGCUAUCCUCCUCAUUAUGGUGCUGUUCCGCCACCCCCUCCUGCUGCACCUCAGUCUUUUUCAGACCCUUCACAAAGCUUGAGUAAUGCUCCGUGGUCCUCAAAUCCAUCUGUGCCUCCUCCUCCACCUUCUGCUGAGAAAAGUAACCACAGCACGGACUCUGAAUAUGAGAAGUUCAUGGCAGAAAUGAAAUGAUGAGAGAAUAUUCCAAAGAUGGCUUUCAGGAUGAGGUAAAUAUAGUCCUGCUUUAUGUUACUCUCUACGAUUUACAAGUUUUGAUAUUUGCUGACAUAUCACUUCAUUUAUUCAUUUUUGGCACGUCUAAUAUCUCACUGUACGGUGUUGCAGCAGAAUUUUUAGUUUAUAUUCAGAUGUUGGCAUAGAGGAGUUCAAAUGCAUGAUUGUAAUGUGGAGAAUUUUUCUGAGCAUCUUUUGGGGGAUUAAGAUAAAAUGGAUGAGGCAUGUGUUCAAUUGUUUAUUAAUAUAGCACUGUAGAAUUACAUUAAGCUUUUAAUAAUUGUUUACACAAUGAAUAAGGAAAUACUAUGUUACAAAGCAGUAUUUUUCAAGAACAAAUUAGGAUUGAUUAGAACAGGCAAUCAACUUGUGGCCAAAAUACAUAUCAGAGUAUAAGAAGAUCCUGGAUGCCAUUUAUUUUUUAGACAUCACAUUGAUGACCCUGUAGUAAUAAAAUAACCCUUUAAAUUAGAUAUAUUUGCCAAGGUUUAUUUCAUUUUUGGUUUUGCUUGUUAUAAAUUUAUAAUCUGUCAUGAUCUUGUCCUGAUAAAACUGUAGCACUAAUUUGAAAAGCUCAUAUGCUGUUUGAAUUACAUAUCUGUUCCUCACAUAAAAUGCUUUGUUAGUCUAUGCAGAUUGCCAUUGUGAUACAGCUUUCUAUGUUUCAGUGGGCAACAGCUCUACCAUUUCUUGGAGAAUUGGCCUCCUUUGGGCCCAUUAUUCUCUUUAAUUUCUGAUCAUGCAUGCUUUUAAUUUUGUACAAUAUUAUCAUUUUCAUUGAUUUUUAACAGAUAAUAACACUUGUUUCUUUGUCGCUAUGCAACAUCUUUACAGGCUGUUUACUGGAGCACUUCUCAUCCUGGUUUCUAAUGUCUCUUUACUUGUUGGAAGUUUGGGACUCACAUAACCUUGAUGUACUGUUACAUUUGCAGAAAGUUUCCAUGAAGCCAUUCAACCGUGUUGCAGGAUCAAUUCGCUUAUAUGUCUGUUGAAAUCUCACUUUGUAGGAUCAUUUCCAUUCAGACGGAUAUAUCUGCAUUUAGCGUGUCUGACUUUCUUAUAUUUUCCUAGAUUAUAUGUUUGAACUUGUUGGUCUCUCUGCUGACCCUUUUGUCGACUAUCUAACAAUUGCUUGUGCUCUUCUCUACUUUGUCUUAUUCUAACGCCCGCUGAUUUGAUUUGGUGCACCUUUUGCUUCUUGUUACUACAACUAUUUGUAGUGUUUGUAGCUUUAUACUUUGAAUCCAGGCUGAUGCUUGUCUCUACUAAUCUAAAUCAAGCGAGGCCGACCUUGGAUCAUGAGGUCAGAUGUUCAUUUAUGGCAGGUGGUGUCAUUGUGCUGGGAUAAUCAUUCAUGUGUUCUGUUGGUUCUCGCCUAAUGCUUAUGUGUUAUUGGAUUGAGUCUAGUUUUUGCCUUUUUCACCGAUAGUAGAAAAUGGUUGUAGCAUAAAUUGUUUGGUUACUUGAGGAUUUGGAAUGUGAAUGGUUGCAGGAAGAAGAUACAUGGUGCUAAAUGAAGUUGGUAGAAGUAUUUGGUUAGAGGUUUCAGUUGUGUCUAAAUGGAAUACAGGUCGUAAUUGUAUUGAAUGAUGUUUGUGUUUGUGAUAUUGACAGCUAAAUGAUUAUACAAGCGUCCCUCAGGUUUUAAAA